CCGGCGCACGGGUGAGUAACACGUAUCCAACCUGCCGUCUACUCUUGGACAGCCUUCUGAAAGGAAGAUUAAUACAAGAUGGCAUCAUGAGUUCACAUGUUCACAUGAUUAAAGGUAUUCCGGUAGACGGUGGGGAUGCGUUCCAUUAGAUAGUAGACGGGGUAACGGCCCACCUAGUCUUCGAUGGAUAGGGGUUCUGAGAGGAAGGUCCCCCACAUUGGAACUGAGACACGGUCCAA
Molecule: ribosomal RNA, 239 nt
Filed under: uncultured bacterium
Lineage: Bacteria
Description: partial 16S ribosomal RNA
Rfam family: Bacterial small subunit ribosomal RNA
Source: RNAcentral